GAUUAACGCUGGCGGCGUGCAUAACACAUGCAAGUCGAACGAUGAAACUUAACUGAUUUCUUCGGAAUGAUUUUAAGUGGAUUAGUGGCGGACGGGUGAGUAACGCGUGAGUAACCUGCCUUGGAGAAGGGGAUAGCCUUUGGAAACGAAGAAUAAUACCCUAUGAUAUGAUAAUAUCUCAUGAUAUUAUCAUCAAAGAUUUAUCGCUCUAAGAUGGACUUGCGUCUGAUUAGUUAGUUGGUGAGGUAACAGCUCACCAAGGCAGCGAUCAGUAGCCGGCUUGAGAGAGUGUACGGCCACAUUGGGACUGAGCCACGGCCCAGACUCCUACGGGAGGCAGCAGUGGGGAAUUUUGCACAAUGGGGGAAACCCUGAUGCAGCGACGCCGCGUGAUUUAGAAGGCCUUCGGGUUGUAAAAAUCUUUUGUAUGGGAAGAAAAUGACAGUACCAUACGAAUAAGGACCGGCUAAUUACGUG
Molecule: ribosomal RNA, 477 nt
Filed under: uncultured bacterium
Lineage: Bacteria
Description: partial 16S ribosomal RNA
Rfam family: Bacterial small subunit ribosomal RNA
Source: RNAcentral